This 74-nucleotide transfer RNA is filed under the name Pseudomonadota bacterium. RNAcentral's name for it is "tRNA-Val". It matches the Rfam family "tRNA". From Rfam's summary of the family: Transfer RNA (tRNA) molecules are approximately 80 nucleotides in length. Their secondary structure includes four short double-helical elements and three loops (D, anti-codon, and T loops). Lineage: Bacteria; Pseudomonadati; Pseudomonadota. RNAcentral also lists the same sequence under 1 other name. The record is from RNAcentral.
GGGGGCGUAGCUCAGUUGGUUAGAGCGCAGCGUUGACAUCGCUGAGGUCAGAGAUUCGACUUCUCUCGUUCCCA